AGCCUUCUGUAUUCGUGCUGAGAUUUCGUCAUCGAUCAACCCGCUAGUGAUGACUGAUGCAAUUUUCCAAAUAAGUGAAGUG
RNAcentral lists this microRNA precursor (82 nucleotides) under Trichobilharzia regenti. RNAcentral describes it as "mir-3492 microRNA precursor family". It matches the Rfam family "mir-3492 microRNA precursor family". The record is from Rfam by way of RNAcentral. Lineage: Eukaryota; Metazoa; Platyhelminthes; Trematoda; Strigeidida; Schistosomatidae.